This 497-nucleotide ribosomal RNA is filed under the name uncultured bacterium. Its description in RNAcentral is "partial 16S ribosomal RNA". It matches the Rfam family "Bacterial small subunit ribosomal RNA", at positions 28 to 507 of the family's 1533-position model. The record is from RNAcentral.
GAUGAACGCUGGCGGCGUGCCUAAUACAUGCAAGUCGAGCGAACGGACGAGAAGCUUGCUUUUCUGAUGUUAGCGGCGGACGGGUGAGUAACACGUGGAUAACCUACCUAUAAGACUGGGAUAACUUCGGGAAACCGGAGCUAAUACCGGAUAAUAUUUUGAACCGCAUGGUUCAAAAGUGAAAGACGGUCUUGCUGUCACUUAUAGAUGGAUCCGCGCUGCAUUAGCUAGUUGGUAAGGUAACGGCUUACCAAGGCAACUAUGCAUAGCCGACCUGAGAGGGUGAUCGGCCACACUGGAACUGAGACACGGUCCAGACUCCUACGGGAGGCAGCAGUAGGGAAUCUUCCGCAAAGGGCGAAAGCCUGACGGAGCAACGCCGCGUGAGUGAUGAAGGUCUUCGGAUCGUAAAACUCUGUUAUUAGGGAAGAACAUAUGUGUAAGUAACUGUGCACAUCUUGACGGUACCUAAUCAGAAAGCCACGGCUAACUACGUG